Molecule: ribosomal RNA, 492 nt
Filed under: uncultured bacterium
Lineage: Bacteria
Description: partial 16S ribosomal RNA
Rfam family: Bacterial small subunit ribosomal RNA
Source: RNAcentral
AGUGAACGCUGGCGGUAGGCCUAACACAUGCAAGUCGAACGGCAGCACAGUAAGAGCUUGCUCUUACGGGUGGCGAGUGGCGGACGGGUGAGGAAUACAUCGGAAUCUACUUUUUCGUGGGGGAUAACGUAGGGAAACUUACGCUAAUACCGCAUACGACCUACGGGUGAAAGCAGGGGAUCUUCGGACCUUGCGCGAUUGAAUGAGCCGAUGUCGGAUUAGCUAGUUGGCGGGGUAAAGGCCCACCAAGGCGACGAUCCGUAGCUGGUCUGAGAGGAUGAUCAGGCACACUGGAACUGAGACACGGUCCAGACUCCUACGGGAGGCAGCAGUGGGGAAUAUUGGACGAUGGGCGCAAGCCUGAUCCAGCCAUACCGCGUGGGUGAAGAAGGCCUUCGGGUUGUAAAGCCCUUUUGUUGGGAAAGAAAAGCAGCAGGUUAAUACCCCGCUGUUCUGACGGUACCCAAAGAAUAAGCACCGGCUAACUUCGUG